GAUGAAGAACGUAGCAAAAUGCGAUAAGUAAUGUGAAUUGCAGAAUUCAGUGAAUCAUCGAAUCUUUGAACGCACAUUGCGCCCGCCAGUAUUCUAGCGGGCAUGCCUGUUCGAGCGUCAUUUCAACCCUCAGGCCCCCAGUGCCUGGUGUUGGGGAUCGGCCCAGCCUUCCUGUAAGGCCGCCGGCCCCGAAAUCUAGUGGCGGUCUCGCUGUAGUCCUCCUCUGCGUAGUAGCACAACCUCGCAGUUGGAACGCGGCGGUGGCCAUGCCGUUAAACACCCCACUUCUGAAAGUUGACCUCGGAUCAGGUAGGAAUACCCGCUGAACUUAAGCAUAUCAAUAAGCGGAGGA
This 352-nucleotide unclassified non-coding RNA is filed under the name soil metagenome. RNAcentral's name for it is "partial contains 5.8S ribosomal RNA, internal transcribed spacer 2, and large subunit ribosomal RNA". The stretch from base 1 to 120 matches the Rfam family "5.8S ribosomal RNA", at positions 35 to 154 of the family's 154-position model. The record is from RNAcentral.